GAGUUUGAUCAUGGCUCAGGACGAACGCUGGCGGCGUGCUUAACACAUGCAAGUCGAACGAUGAAGCCUAGCUUGCUAGGUGGAUUAGUGGCGAACGGGUGAGUAAUACGUGAGUGACCUACCUUUGACUCUGGGAUAAGCCUGGGAAACUGGGUCUAAUACCGGAUACGACCAAUCUCCGCAUGGGGUGUUGGUGGAAAGCGUUAUGGAGUGGUUUUAGAUGGGCUCACGGCCUAUCAGCUUGUUGGUGAGGUAAUGGCUUACCAAGGCGACGACGGGUAGCCGGCCUGAGAGGGUGACCGGCCACACUGGGACUGAGACACGGCCCAGACUCCUACGGGAGGCAGCAGUGGGGAAUAUUGCACAAUGGGCGCAAGCCUGAUGCAGCGACGCCGCGUGAGGGAUGACGGCCUUCGGGUUGUAAACCUCUGUUAGCAUCGAAGAAGCGAAAGUGACGGUAGGUGCAGAGAAAGCGCCGGCUAACUACGUGCCAGCAGCCGCGGUAAUACGUAGGGCGCGAGCGUUGUCCGGAAUUAUUGGGCGUAAAGAGCUUGUAGGCGGUUGGUCGCGUCUGCUGUGAAAGGCUGGGGCUUAACCCUGGUUUUGCAGUGGGUACGGGCUAACUAGAGUGCAGUAGGGGAGACUGGAAUUCCUGGUGUAGCGGUGGAAUGCGCAGAUAUCAGGAGGAACACCGAUGGCGAAGGCAGGUCUCUGGGUUGUAACUGACGCUGAGAAGCGAAAGCAUGGGGAGCGAACAGGAUUAGAUACCCUGGUAGUCCAUGCCGUAAACGUUGGGCACUAGGUGUGGGGGACAUUCCACGUUUUCCGCGCCGUAGAUAACGCAUUAAGUGCCCGGCCUGGGGAGUACGGCCGCAAGGUUAAAACUCAAACGAAAUUGACGGGGGGCCCGCACAAGCGGCCCCCCACGGGGAUUAAUUUGAUGAAAUGAGAAGAACAUUAUUAAGGGUGGGGGGGUUUCCCCCUGCGUCCCCCCCCCCCGUUUCCUUUCGGGGGUGAAAAAAAAAAAGUGCAUGGUUGUCGUCAGCUCGUGUCGUGAGAUGUUGGGUUAAGUCCCGCAACGAGCGCAACCCUCGUUCUAAGUUGCCAGCACGUGAUGGUGGGGACUCAUAGGAGACUGCCGGGGUCAACUCGGAGGAAGGUGGGGAUGACCCCCCCCCCCCCCGCCCAUUAUGUCUUGGGCCUCCCCCCCCCCCCAAUGGCCGGUACAGAGGGUUGCGAUACUGUGAGGUGGAGCUAAUCCCUAAAAGCCGGUCUCAGUUCGGAUUGGGGUCUGCAACUCGACCCCAUGAAGUCGGAGUCACGAGUAAUCGCAGAUCAGCAACGCUGCGGUGAAUACGUCCACGGGCCUUGCACACACCGCCCGUC
Molecule: ribosomal RNA, 1386 nt
Filed under: uncultured bacterium
Lineage: Bacteria
Description: 16S ribosomal RNA
Rfam family: Bacterial small subunit ribosomal RNA
Source: RNAcentral